CGCUGUGGUCCUCCACCACCACCUGCUCCCCUCCCCUCUCUUUAACCCUCUCCGAAUCCCCACCAAACCCUAGCCCUCCUCUCUUCCUCCCUCAGCGCCGCCAUCUCCUUCCCCACUCCCCGUUCUCUUUUUCUCUGUGAACGAAACCAAGAGGAAACCCCACAGUACCUCCUCCACCCACCAUGGCGCCGCCGCUACACACCACCCCUCGCUGUUCUGAGGGCACCGGGAGAUGCGCCUCGUCGUCCUCUUCAACCUAGUUCAAGGAAUCGAGCCGGGGCUGGCUCAAUCAACGGCAAAAUCGCCGUUCCCUUCCCCAACUCCGGCGAGUUCAUCGUCAAUUCCGGCCGCUAUGGUCCUCCUCCGCCUGUGUUGUGCACAUCCAAGGCUUCCUGGUCCUCGUCACCGGUCUGCUCCAUCCGCCCUCCGGCCAAACGCCCGCCCAUCUCAGGCUCCCCAAGGUCUUCUGCGUCCAGCGCGCCGACUCUUGCGUCCCAGUUUGCCCGGAGUAACUAGAUCGGUGCAUGUCCAGAUUCUCCAGCAUGGACGUAGCCUUGAAAACUCGUCCCAGUCGUUUUUUGGGUCAAGUAGACACACGCCUUUUCCUUGACAUGAUACUAUCUUCAUCACAGUGAUCUGUUGGUGGGCUUCGACCCAGAUCCAUCCGGCGGGCCAAGUCCCAGGAAGCUUGCCAGCCUGCACCUCCUCACCGAUCCGGCCGAGCAGCACCACCUCGCUGUCAUGGCAGCAUUUGCUUCUUCCCGGAUAGGAUCACGAAGUGGCGUGGUGAGAUACGAC
Lolium rigidum is the source of this 798-nucleotide long non-coding RNA. RefSeq lists it as uncharacterized. The transcript has 4 exons. NCBI's taxonomy places the organism in Eukaryota, Viridiplantae, Streptophyta, Magnoliopsida, Poales, Poaceae. The record is from RefSeq and is a predicted model, not a curated record.